This 228-nucleotide ribosomal RNA is filed under the name uncultured bacterium. RNAcentral's name for it is "partial 16S ribosomal RNA". It matches the Rfam family "Bacterial small subunit ribosomal RNA", at positions 109 to 339 of the family's 1533-position model. The record is from RNAcentral.
AGUAAUUUAUAGAUAACGUACCUUUUAGUCUGGGAUAGCCAUUGGAAACGAUGAUUAAUACUAGAUACUCCUUCUAAUCAUAAGGUUAGUCGGGAAAGUUUUUUCGCUAAGAGAUCGGUCUAUAUCCCAUCAGCUUGUUGGUAGUGUAAGAGACUACCAAGGCAAUGACGGGUAGCGGGUUUGAGAGGAUGAUCCGCCACACUGGUACUGAGACACGGACCAGACUCC